This 2723-nucleotide long non-coding RNA is filed under the name Fragaria vesca (wild strawberry). RNAcentral's name for it is "long non-coding RNA (FVES_LNC002006)". Lineage: Eukaryota; Viridiplantae; Streptophyta; Magnoliopsida; Rosales; Rosaceae. The record is from RNAcentral.
UUUAAAGUCAUACCACAUGUACAUUUAAAAUGUAUCAAAACUUUAUUUGUAGCUAAUACUAUUUAUGAACAUCCAUAUCUAUCGACCAUCUAGUUUACCUUGUUAUAUUAUUAAGCUCCCUUAUAGGUUCCUUUCUAAAUAAAAACUUUGAGUGGUUUAAUAAUCAGGGGUGGCAAUCCUCCCCCCGCCCGCGGGUGCUUGAAUUUCAUACGUUGUUUUGAAUCAACUAGAUUUAAGACCUUUGAAUCAUCAUUUUUUCUGUUAACUUCUGUAUACCCAUUUCCUCUACCUGCAAUAAACCAGUGAGACUUAGAACUCCAAGCUAGAAUUCUCAAAAUGACUGAAAGAAGAUUAGUACCUAAAAUGCUCAACAAAAGCCUUAUCAACAUCUUUCAAUCACAUGCACAUAUUCUAUUAUGUUCUGUAAAUGUUUGAAAAAUUAAUCGUUUUUGCUUCUAUUUAUUAGUAUGGCAAUUAAACAACAUGAAAUUCAACUUGGAGAGCCACUAGUUCAUGGCGAAAACAUGGUAACAAUAAUUUUCCUAUUAUAAUUUCUUUUUUACAUAACUAAAUCAUUUCAAAUUUACAGGUUCUAGUUCUAGUACCUGUACAAGUGAUGAUGUCAGUUCUCAACAAUGUGGAAGAAAAGAAAGCUAUACACCAACGAAAAGUAAAAUCUUCCCAGGUAAAAUCUACAAUAAAAAAUAUAGUUUAUAACAGAAAAUUCCCUAUAAUAGCUCUUUGAUUCUUAGGAUCAAAAGCUCUACACCAGCAAUACUUAUACAAACAUCAUCAAAGCCACACAAAAAAAAAACUACAAGUAGGUUUAGCUUAGCCAAGUACAAUAUGAAAAACAAAAAAACCGAAAAAAUCAAUCUCAAGGGGGGGGAGAUUGCCACCCCUGAUUAUAAAACCACUCAAAAGUUUCAUUUAGAAAGGAACCUAUAAAGGAGCUUAAUAAUAUAAUAAGGCAAACUAGAUGGUCGAUAGAUAUGGAUGUUCAUCAAAAUAGUAUUAGCUAUGAAUAAAGUUCUCAUACAUUUUAAAUGUACAUGUGAUAUGACUUCAAAGACACAAUCAUUCACAACUUCCUUAUGAAGAUAAUCCAUAAUAUGGUUGUAUUGUAAUAUUUUUCAUUUUUUUUUACAAGUGCUUGACUUAGUCAUACUCUAAUUUGCCAAUGAAGACAAAUUGGAAACAACUGCUACCAAGAUAAUGGAAGAAUAUAACAACAAAUGUGCAGCAAAAGAAAUGGCGGCAAAAAACCUGAAUCAAGUUAAAGCUAUGUGCAGCAGACUCGAAUCAAUCNNNNNNNNNNNNNNNNNNNNAUUGAUUUUUAAGAUGUCGUGUGAUUGAUUUGAGUCUGCUGCACAUAGCUUUAACUUGAUUCAGGUUUUUUGCCGCCGUUUCUUUUGCUGCACAUAUGUUGUUAUAUUCUUUCAUUAUCUCGGUAGCAGUUGUUUCCAAUUUGUCUUCAUUGGCAAAUUUGAGUAUGACUAAGUCAAGCACCUAGUAAAAAAAAAUGAAAAAUAUUACAAUACAACUAUAUUAUGGAUUAUCUUCAUAAGGAAGUUGUGAAUGAUUGUGUCUUUAAAGUCAUACCACAUGUACAUUUAAAAUGUAUUAGAACUUUAUUCAUAACUAAUACUAUUUGAUGAACAUUCAUAUCUAUCGACCAUCUAGUUUGCCUUGUUAUAUUAUUAAGCUCCCUUAUAGGUUCCUUUCUAAAUGAAAACUUUUGAAGAAACUUCUGUCGAAUUUUUAACACUGAGCUACAGUAUCACAUGCCGGACUUUGGCAAUGAGGUAAAAACCUAAAAAGAAUACAACUUUGGCAAUAGAAGAUCAACAUAUCAAAAUGAAAAGAAACAAACUUUGAUCAGAUCGGAUAAAACGAAUGGGAAUUUGGUCAAACCACAACUAUAAUAUCCUGGAAGUUUAUCGACGUAGCUUCAAUAGAAUCGGCAAUCAGGUAAAAACCCAAAAAGAAUACAACUUUGGCAAUAGAAGAUCAACAAAUCAAAAUGAAAAGAAACAAACUUUGAUCAGAUCUGAUAAAAAGAAUGGAAAUUUGGUCAAACAACAACCACAUAUCCCGGAAAUUUAUCGACGUAGCUUCAAUAGAAUCGGUAAAAACCCAUUUCAAAUGUCCGAUGAUUUAAUAAACGCAAAGAGAUUUGUUCAAAGAAACAAAACAACUUUGGCAAUCAAGUAAAAACUAAAAAGAAUAAAACUUUGGCCAUACCAUGAACAUGCCGGAUUCUGGGAGCUUCAAUAUAUCCAUCGGCAAGAUCUGAUAGAUCCACUGGUUUCGGUGCUAUUUCAUUUUGUUUGCUUCCUCGUACACAUACUACUUCCACCGCUCCUUCUGUUCCAGUUAAGUCUCCGCGCUGUCAUGUUUUGUUUCCUUUUCUUUCUUUUUCUUUUUUCUCCCCCAUAAUUAACUUUUAUUUCGAUUUUAUCAAUUUUAGGAAAGGAAAUUCUACCUGUGUAAAAAUGUUAUGAUUCUAUCUAUCUAUUUAGACUAUGUAUAUGUGUCUCGAGAACAUCUUUAGUGCACGGCGUGUAUCUUCACAUACAUACAUUGAUGGUCAGGAUUAGAUGAAAUAAAAUAGAAACAUAGUGGUCAAACAUAUGAAUUGUUAUAAACGAUUAAGAUUGUACCGUGCACGUCGUGCCAGUCUCAACGUCUUUUUCAAUUCAAAAUAAAGUUUUACCAUAGAC